This 301-nucleotide ribosomal RNA is filed under the name uncultured bacterium. RNAcentral's name for it is "partial 16S ribosomal RNA". It matches the Rfam family "Bacterial small subunit ribosomal RNA", at positions 509 to 807 of the family's 1533-position model. The record is from RNAcentral.
CAGUCGCCGCGGGAAUACGAAGGGUGCAAGCGUUAAUCGGAAUUACUGGGCGUAAAGCGUGCGUAGGUGGUGGUUUAAGUCCGUUGUGAAAGCCCUGGGCUCAACCUGGGAAUUGCAGUGGAUACUGGGUCACUAGAGUGUGGUAGAGGAUAGUGGAAUUUCCGGUGUAGCAGUGAAAUGCGUAGAGAUCGGAAGGAACAUCUGUGGCGAAGGCGACUAUCUGGGCCAACACUGACACUGAGGCACGAAAGCGUGGGGAGCAAACAGGAUUAGAUACCCCCGUAGUCCCUGUCUCUUAUAC